Molecule: RNA transcript, 890 nt
Organism: Amphimedon queenslandica
Lineage: Eukaryota; Metazoa; Porifera; Demospongiae; Haplosclerida; Niphatidae
Gene name: cytosolic Fe-S cluster assembly factor NUBP2-like
Exons: 3
Source: RefSeq, a predicted model, not a curated record
CGAUUCCGACUUAAAUUUUUCAAGUUGCGGCCAUUUUAAAAAACAACAAAAUUCUGAAUAUGCAAUAUACCAUAGUCUCAAUACCUUUCCACUGGGAGGUCUCAUUGAUUCACCCUCAAGUCUCCUCUUCUCAGCUCUUCCUCCUCCUCUUGCGGCUCUGAACAGAGCCCUGUUCCUUUCCUCAGCCCUUGCUCUAAUGCAGGAUAAAACUGCUGAGUCAUUGAUGGCUGGUGUCAUGGCAACAGUUGGUCUCCUAACAGUGGCCGAGGCCUCGAGGAUACGAUAGAGGAUAAUGUGAAGGGGGUAGUCCCUCCGGAGCUACCCGACUGCCUCAUUGUUGAUGACCAGAGAGGGUGGGGUAUAACAGUGUCAGGCCCAGCUUCUUUUGGAAUAAUUCUUCUUCCUAUAUUUAGCGAGGGAUCGUUUGGUCUAGGAGGAGGCGGUGGAAAUGAUCUCAAUUCUAACUAAUGGAGGGAGAGAAAGAGGGAGGGAGAGAGGUUACAAUGAAAUAGAAAGCAACAAGAUUCUGCAAUUAGAUAGGCAAGGCCAGACCGGCAGACCCUUGCCUCCCUGGCCAGCGAGACUAGCUUGGUAUAUGUAAAAUGGCGUCAGGUUUGCUAAACUUUCAAUGCUUUUUAUUCUUACAGGAAGAGAAAGAAAGAAUCUAUCAAGAAUGGAUCACGUGAUAUUAGUCCUCUCUGGUAAAGGAGGAGUUGGUAAGAGUACAGUAACACGUCAAAUAGCACUGGGACUGGUUGAAGAAGGAAAGAAAGUUGGUAUAUUGGAUAUUGAUUUAUGUGGUCCUAGUAUACCUCACAUGUUUUCAUUAACUGGUAGAGAUGUACAUCAAGGGACUGAUGGGUAAGCCCCUAUCAUUAAUUAUUAAUUAU